UCUCCUGGGGAGCCUGGGAGCCCUGGUAGUAUGGUCUGCUUCCUUACAGCUCCAGCUACUGUGGGGCUUGUUAACCUGCCUCGUGUGUGCAUGCUCCCUUGAAUCUGACUCUUUGAGAUUCCAUAGACUGUAGCCCACCAGGCUCUUCUGUCCAUGGAAUUUCUCAGGCAAGAUUAAUGGAGUGGAUUGCCAUUUCUUCCUCCAGGGGGUGUUCCCUACCCAGGGAUGGAAAUUGUGUCUCCUGCAGUGACAGGUGGAUUCUUUGUCACUGAGCCACCUGGGAAGCCCAUUUACCUGCCUAAGCCUCCACUUUCCCACCUGUGAAAUGAAGCUAGUUAUAGUAAGAAGUGAUCACAUCUGUGCGCUAGCUGGCCAGACUUGAAAGAAAUACAGACCAGACUCUUGUUGUUCAAAAUGGGUCAUAAGGAAGUGGAGACAACUUGCAACAUCAACAACACAUUUGGCCCAGGAGCUGCUAACGAAGGUACAGUGCCGCAGUGGUUCAGGAAGUUUUGUCAAGGAGACGGGAGACUUGCAGAUGAGGAGAGUAGUGGCCAUCCGUCGAAAGCUGACAAAGACCGAUUGAGAGCCAUCAUCCAGGCUGAUCAUCUUACAACUACACAAGAAAUUGCCAAAAAAAAGAAAGCAACUCAACGUCAACCCUGCUACAGUCAUUCAGCAUUUGAAGCAAAUUGGAAAGGUGAUAAAGCUCGGUAAGUGGGUGCCUCAUGAGCCGACCACAAACCAAAAAAAAUCAUCACUUUGAAGUGUCAUCUUCUUAUUCUAGGCAACAACAAUGAAUCAUUUUCCAUUGAAUUGUGAUGUGUGAUGAAAAGUGCAUUUUAUACAACAACCGGUAAUGACCAGCUUAGCUUUUGAACCAAGAAGAAGCUCCAGAGCACUUCCCAAAGCCAAACUUGCACCAAAAAAGGUCAUGGUCACUGUUUGGUGCUCUGCUGUGGUCUUAUCCACUACAGUGUUCUGAAUCCUGGUGAAACCAUUACAUCUGAGAAGUAUGCUCAGCAAAUCGAUGAGAUGCACCAAAAACUGCAGCACCUACAGCCAGCAUUGGUCAACAGAAAGUGCCCAAUUCAUCUCCACGGCAAUACCCAACCACACAUCACACAACCAAUGCAUCAAAAGUUGAAUGAA
Molecule: long non-coding RNA, 1152 nt
Organism: Cervus elaphus (red deer)
Lineage: Eukaryota; Metazoa; Chordata; Mammalia; Artiodactyla; Cervidae
Exons: 2
Source: RefSeq, a predicted model, not a curated record